Molecule: ribosomal RNA, 252 nt
Filed under: uncultured bacterium
Lineage: Bacteria
Description: partial 16S ribosomal RNA
Rfam family: Bacterial small subunit ribosomal RNA
Source: RNAcentral
UACGUAGGCAGCAAGCGUUGUUCGGAAUUACUGGGCGUAAAGGGCGCGUAGGCGGCUUUGUAAGUUACUUGUGAAAUCUCCGAGCUUAACUCGGAACUGCCAAGUAAUACUGCAGAGCUAGAGUGCAGAAGGGGCAACUGGAAUUCUUGGUGUAGCGGUGAAAUGCGUAGAUAUCAAGAGGAACACCUGAGGCGAAGGCGGGUUGCUGGGCUGACACUGACGCUGAGGCGCGAAAGCUAGGGGAGCAAACAG